GUCGCAGCGCUCUUGUCAAGUUGGGGCUUCGCUGCCUGUUGGCGAUUUGGCUUCCUAUUUUCAGCUGCAAACAACUGAUGACGAGGUUGACGAUGGCGAUGAUGUGUCGAUGGCUUCGAUAUCGUCGUCCGACGAUGACGCGACGGAUAACGAAGAAGCGCUACCCGUCGAGGAAGACAGCGAUGACGCUACGCUUAACGUUUCUAGUACCUGUUUUGCAAGUUUGGGCGUUCGCCGUUGGGAAGAAUUUGAGUUAUGCGCAUAGCAACGCAUGAGUGUUCGGUUGCUAUGGCUGUGUACCCGUAUGUUGUGGUAGACAUCGGUAUGUAAAACAGUUUGAUGUCUAUUCGUUUCGUUUUUUGCUAUGCGCUGUUUAGUUUUUACGUUUCAGUAAGUGUUUUCCAAGUUUGGAUGUUAGGAGUUGGCAAGAAUUUGAGUUAUGCCCAUAGCAACGCACAUAGCAACGGAUCUGAAGGCAGGCAUAACUCAAAGACCAGGUAUCGCUGCCAAGAAUGCAACGUCCCCCUCUGUGUGUCAUCUGCUGAGCGACAGUGCUUUAUAAAAUAUCACACUGAGGAUGACUGAAAAUUGCUAAACUGUGACUGUGUAUAUUGUAUAUUUCUAUUUAUAGUGUUGUAUAUUUCUAUUAUAUAUUGUUGUAUAUUUCUAUAUAUAUUGUUGUAUAUUUCUAUUUAUAUAUUGUUGUAUAUUUUUAUUUAUAUAUUGUUAUAUAUUUCAUUUAUACAGUAUUGUAUUAGGUGAUCUA
Long non-coding RNA from Corticium candelabrum, 766 nucleotides. RefSeq lists it as uncharacterized. The record is from RefSeq and is a predicted model, not a curated record. NCBI's taxonomy places the organism in Eukaryota, Metazoa, Porifera, Homoscleromorpha, Homosclerophorida, Plakinidae. The transcript is spliced from 2 exons.